Long non-coding RNA from Homo sapiens (human), 1066 nucleotides. RefSeq lists it as uncharacterized. NCBI's taxonomy places the organism in Eukaryota, Metazoa, Chordata, Mammalia, Primates, Hominidae. The transcript has 3 exons. The record is from RefSeq and is a predicted model, not a curated record.
GCUGCCUAUUCAUGUACCUGGCACACAACUGUUGUUCAACAAAUACUUGCAGAAUCACAGGAUUAAUAGCAGAUGCACUGCAGUCCUCCUGGCUCCUGCACUUGCCACAGGAGAAUGGCAGUACUUUGGAGGUUGCCCAUCUCCUGUGGGCUCCAGAAACCUCAGGUCUGUGAGAGUUUUGGCAAGUGGAAGGUGGAUGGCAGUGAUGUGUGUCAUUUCCAGGCCUGGCAACCUAAAUACCUCCUCUGUGCAUUCCACGGUGGCUCAUUCUUGCCUUGUUGGCCAGCCAGAUGCAGAAGAUCCAGCAUAGAGUUCCAAAGCCUCCAGGAUUCCAAGGCAUCUAGGAGAUAGAGGAGCAACUAAAUGCAGGGUGCCUGGGCCCCUGGAGGACUGCAUGGAGCAGAACAACUCUUCCUCAUCCCCCCUUUCUGCUGAUUCCGUGUGGUCUGUGAUGAAAUGCCUGAGGAGGUGCCACUCCUGCGGGGCUGUUUUGAAGGGGCUGGAAGUCUUUUCUGUCACCACCUUUACCUACCUGUCAUCUGUGAACGUGACUGGAGAUGCCAAGGCUUUCCUCGACUUCUGCCACUGCCCAUGGUUCAUGGCCCUCUCACCCUGCUCCUCUUGUAAGCAGUGCCAGCAACUUGACAUUCUGAGUGAAGCCUUGCUAGGGCCCAUCCAGCACUUCUAAUGGUGCUGUCAACUGGAGUCUUGUUCGUCCUUGCCCUCAGUGAAGGCCACUUUGCAUGUGGACCCUGACGCUGGACACAUGAUGGUCAGCUCCAGUAGGCUUUGGCCUGUCAACUCAUCCCAGGAGGCCGGGGGUGUCCAUCUGGGAUUGUGGUAUUGUCUCUGUCUCAGCAUGAUCAGCACAUGCCUCCUGGGGGAUUAGCCAUCACUCUUCCUUAGUGCUAUGGUCAGUCCAGCUGGGAGGCUAUUGCUGGAGCAGUAUAUGCCAGGGGCCCCAGGUAGCCCUAACCACUGCUAAGAACUGGGUUGAGUCCCCUCAACAUCUGUAAGUUAAAACCCUAACCCCCUGGCUGGGCGCGGUGGCUCACAUCUGUAAUCC